GACAGAGGAUGCAAGCGUUAUCCGAAAUGAUUGGGCGUAAAGCGUAUGUAUGUGGCUUUUUAAGUCCGCCGGUCAAAUCCCAGGGCUCAACCCUGGACAGACGGUGGAAACUACCAAGCUAGAGUACGAUAGGGGCAGAGGGAAUUUCCGGUGGAGCGGUGAAAUGCAUUGAGAUCGGAAAGAACACCAACGGCGAAAGCACUCUGCUGGGCCGACACUGACACUGAGAGACGAAAGCUAGGGGCGCAAAUGGG
This 254-nucleotide ribosomal RNA is filed under the name uncultured bacterium. RNAcentral's name for it is "partial 16S ribosomal RNA". It matches the Rfam family "Bacterial small subunit ribosomal RNA", at positions 524 to 776 of the family's 1533-position model. The record is from RNAcentral.